This 945-nucleotide long non-coding RNA is filed under the name Taeniopygia guttata (zebra finch). Its description in RNAcentral is "lncRNA (ENSTGUG00000018896.1)". Lineage: Eukaryota; Metazoa; Chordata; Aves; Passeriformes; Estrildidae. The record is from RNAcentral.
GGAUGAGGAGCCCCCGGUGCUCCAGCCCAGCGCGGAGCUGCUUCCCCCGAGCCCUGUGCCAGGUGAACCUAAUGUCCACAGAAACAAGGAGCUCAUCUCAGCAUAACCAAGAAGGACGAACGUCGUCCACAACAACUGUGGCUGAUGGCAUUCUGGCUAAGAAAGGGAUAGCAAAGAUAUUCAAAGGCAUAGAAAUGGUGCUCGAUGAAUCAACAACUGUGUAUGGUGGCAGUCGGGCUAAGAAAGGCAGAUCAAAGAUAUUCAAAGGAGUAGAAAUGAUAAUUGAAACUAUCAUAUGUGCGGUUGCUAGGAGUGUGAUUGAGAAAAUCCUUGCAAUUGCAUCUGACGAAUCAAGAAAGAGAAAUGAGGAGGAGACCACAAAUGCCGUGGAAUCUAGGACAGAUGAAACCUCUCAGGAGCUCAUAAAAACAAUGAAAGCCUUGCAGGAAUAUCUCAAAGAAUCACAGGAGUCCGGACAGUGUGAGUGUCAGCACAGCAGAGCACAGCUGGAGGGGAACCGAGGAGGUUUGUCCUAAAUUAUCCAAGAAUUUCCUUCCCAUAUGCCAGAGGCACUCUUCUCUGUCGGAAUGGAGGGAAUAUUUUCCUGCCUGUCCUGAGAUGUCCUGAUCCCCAGGAGAGCACUGCUUUUAACCUUCAUCCAUGGAGAAAGCUUCCAAGGCUUUGAGAUGAAUUGGAAUCUACGAGUGUGCGAAGUAGAUAGUAGUAUAGUUUAUCACAUGGUGAAAAACUUAAAUUUUGGGGGUUUUAGUAUGGAGGUGGAUUGGAGACAAGAUGGAGAAUUUCAGGCAUUGUCUGAUCUCCUUGUUCUUCAUCUACUCCAUUUUCUGCAGUGUUGGGAGCACAGGGUGAUUGAUUAGAAAGAACCGCAAUGCAGGUGUUGUGUGGACAGAAAAAUAAAUAGUUAUUGGUAGAAAGGAAGAAAUA